Molecule: long non-coding RNA, 251 nt
Organism: Eptesicus fuscus (big brown bat)
Lineage: Eukaryota; Metazoa; Chordata; Mammalia; Chiroptera; Vespertilionidae
Exons: 3
Source: RefSeq, a predicted model, not a curated record
GGUGCCAGGAAAGCAAUCUCAGGGCUGAGCCAGACUAGAAAGAAAAAAAUAGGGACAGACAAAGGAGAGCCUUUCGACACAGUCGAUGCACACACUUGCCACGGUGACAGGGUCCUGAAGCCCCAUGAGAAACCCCACUGUGAAGUGCUGUAUGGCAAAAGGUAGGCAUGUCAGCUUGUUAGACACCCACUCCAGCCUCAGGCAAUUAAAUGCUUCCCUUACCUGGUGAGCGAGGCCUGUGUGCGUCAGGA